CUGGGCCACCCCACUCUCCUGGAGGGCCCCAGCAGCAGCGCUUACCAGAGUCUGCCAGUGCCAGGGAACUUCUCCAUGCAGCUUGAGCUCUGUGCUGCAAUGCCUCUUCUCCUGGCAGUGGCUGUUUUGAGAGCCUAAAGGAGGCUCCUCUCAUGCCCUCUGAUGUCAUGUUGCUGUUGCUAUUGCCUCCUGUGUGCUGUGUUCCUGCCUGUCCUCACUCAGAGCCAUCCACCAUGAAGCCCUGAAGGUGGGAACUUCGAUUUAUUUGUACAACAACCAGAGCAGUGAUUUUCUGAAGCCAUUUGGAAUGAAGUCUUGAACAAGAAAACCUUGAACAGCUACCGUGUAGAAACAUAUCUUACUCCCUGAUUCUGGAUGAAAUAAAAGCCUAUUCUUCUUAA
Long non-coding RNA from Hemicordylus capensis (graceful crag lizard), 401 nucleotides. RefSeq lists it as uncharacterized. NCBI's taxonomy places the organism in Eukaryota, Metazoa, Chordata, Lepidosauria, Squamata, Cordylidae. The record is from RefSeq and is a predicted model, not a curated record. The transcript has 2 exons.